Molecule: ribosomal RNA, 1539 nt
Filed under: Salmonella enterica subsp. enterica serovar Enteritidis
Lineage: Bacteria; Pseudomonadati; Pseudomonadota; Gammaproteobacteria; Enterobacterales; Enterobacteriaceae
Description: partial 23S ribosomal RNA
Rfam family: Bacterial large subunit ribosomal RNA
Source: RNAcentral
GUAUCAGAAGUGCGAAUGCUGACAUAAGUAACGAUAAAGCGGGUGAAAAGCCCGCUCGCCGGAAGACCAAGGGUUCCUGUCCAACGUUAAUCGGGGCAGGGUGAGUCGACCCCUAAGGCGAGGCCGAAAGGCGUAGUCGAUGGGAAACGGGUUAAUAUUCCCGUACUUGGUGUUACUGCGAAGGGGGGACGGAGAAGGCUAUGUUGGCCGGGCGACGGUUGUCCCGGUUUAAGCGUGUAGGCUGGUUUUCCAGGCAAAUCCGGAAAAUCAAGGCUGAGGCGUGAUGACGAGGCACUACGGUGCUGAAGCAACAAAUGCCCUGCUUCCAGGAAAAGCCUCUAAGCAUCAGGUAACAUCAAAUCGUACCCCAAACCGACACAGGUGGUCAGGUAGAGAAUACCAAGGCGCUUGAGAGAACUCGGGUGAAGGAACUAGGCAAAAUGGUGCCGUAACUUCGGGAGAAGGCACGCUGACACGUAGGUGAAGUGAUUUACUCACGGAGCUGAAGUCAGUCGAAGAUACCAGCUGGCUGCAACUGUUUAUUAAAAACACAGCACUGUGCAAACACGAAAGUGGACGUAUACGGUGUGACGCCUGCCCGGUGCCGGAAGGUUAAUUGAUGGGGUCAGCGCAAGCGAAGCUCCUGAUCGAAGCCCCGGUAAACGGCGGCCGUAACUAUAACGGUCCUAAGGUAGCGAAAUUCCUUGUCGGGUAAGUUCCGACCUGCACGAAUGGCGUAAUGAUGGCCAGGCUGUCUCCACCCGAGACUCAGUGAAAUUGAACUCGCUGUGAAGAUGCAGUGUACCCGCGGCAAGACGGAAAGACCCCGUGAACCUUUACUAUAGCUUGACACUGAACAUUGAGCCUUGAUGUGUAGGAUAGGUGGGAGGCUUUGAAGUGUGGACGCCAGUCUGCAUGGAGCCGACCUUGAAAUACCACCCUUUAAUGUUUGAUGUUCUAACGUGGACCCGUUACCCGGGUUGCGGACAGUGUCUGGUGGGUAGUUUGACUGGGGCGGUCUCCUCCUAAAGAGUAACGGAGGAGCACGAAGGUUGGCUAAUCCUGGUCGGACAUCAGGAGGUUAGUGCAAUGGCAUAAGCCAGCUUGACUGCGAGCGUGACGGCGCGAGCAGGUGCGAAAGCAGGUCAUAGUGAUCCGGUGGUUCUGAAUGGAAGGGCCAUCGCUCAACGGAUAAAAGGUACUCCGGGGAUAACAGGCUGAUACCGCCCAAGAGUUCAUAUCGACGGCGGUGUUUGGCACCUCGAUGUCGGCUCAUCACAUCCUGGGGCUGAAGUAGGUCCCAAGGGUAUGGCUGUUCGCCAUUUAAAGUGGUACGCGAGCUGGGUUUAGAACGUCGUGAGACAGUUCGGUCCCUAUCUGCCGUGGGCGCUGGAGAACUGAGGGGGGCUGCUCCUAGUACGAGAGGACCGGAGUGGACGCAUCACUGGUGUUCGGGUUGUCAUGCCAAUGGCACUGCCCGGUAGCUAAAUGCGGAAGAGAUAAGUGCUGAAAGCAUCUAAGCACGAAACUUGCCCCGAG